AAAAAACAAUGUAAUAUUUUAAAACACUGCACAUUUUACAGUGCAGGGGAUGGUAACUUGCUCUUAUAGCCCACAAAAUGUUAGCUAGGCAAACAUCCAUUUUAACAGAACAGAGCCCUGGUGGGCAAGACUUCACACUGAUGGUAAGCUGGGAUUGGGGGACACGCCCAUUAGAGAGUUCAGUCACACUCCUCAACAACUUGGAAUAAACUUUCAAAUACUACACCACCAAAGAGUUCCCCUCAACUCAACCUGUCGUUUGAAUUGGAAAAUAAACUCACACAAUUUAACUGUUUCUCACAUUUUUGAUUAACUCCAGAUUUUUGAAAUUUGCUGUUUAUAUAUAUAUAUAUAUAUAUAUAUAUAUAUAUAUAUAUAUAUAUAUAUAUAUAUAAUGAAAAAAAUUAAAAGAAUACCAAAUGAUAAAAUACCAGUCAAUUAUACAACACAGGUAAAUGAAAAAGAAAGAAGGUGGAACAAGUUGGAAAUAAGGAACAAGGACACUCCCUUUUGACUCACUUUGUGGUGUGGUGGUUUCGGUGGCAGAGUUACAAGUUUUGUGAUAUGGGCCAGAUGUUGAGGAUAUUCAGUAUGCCUACUGAGAUCAGCAACCAUGAUCACGCUUUUUACAAGCGUGAACAUGAACGUCUUCUUAAAGACGCUGCUGCAGUCCCAGCAGAAAAUAUAAGACCGGAUUUUGAAGGUAGGAACAGCUUUAUAAAAGCUGGUGGUCGCUAUAGACAGUACCAGUUUAUAAACACAUGUGUUCUUGACUCAUUCCUUUUUGGCCUUCACAUUUGUCACAACAAAAAUGCAAAAUUUAGAGAACUUUUUCAAACAGAUCGUACACUAAAAGCAGUCAUGAUAUUUUUAGAUGCAAAAAAGUAUAAUGAGGUCAGAUAUCUUUGGUUGAUUUUCUUAAAUUUGGAUCCAAAUUGUAGAUUCAAAAUGUCCGAAACAACUGAUUUUAGGAGUGAGGUCAAGGACCAUUUACCAGUGUUUAUAAACCUGGUAUGUUCUAAAGACCAUUUCAGUGAAGAUGAUGGGCUUCAUGGAUUGGAUGAUUGUCUUCAUCAAAGCAUCAAAAGUGCUUUUCAACCCUAUGGAAAUGUUAUGCCUUUGGGGAUGACCUAUAAAGAGCCCAGUGUUAUACUGGUGUCCAACGAUGAUGGUCUGCACACAGCUCCCCCAAUUUAUGUCACUGACACGUAUGAAAGGACCUUUAAACUGCAGUUUCUGCUUGUGUGGAAGAAGAAAGUGAAAGGAACACACAUGGUUGUGUGCUGUAACAUGGAAUAUGGAUGGGUCCUGUAUGAUAAUCACCCUGGCGUACCUCCUGAAGACUUCAGCUACGACUACGAAGAUUUUAGGAAUGAUUACCCUGUCUACCUUGCUUGUUAUGUCAACGUCACACAACCUGGUCACAGCAAUGUGAAUGUUCCAGUUGCUGAAGAGGGAUUUGAAUCGUCAGUAUGGGACUGGCAGCCGGUAUAA
Molecule: long non-coding RNA, 1494 nt
Filed under: Astyanax mexicanus (Mexican tetra)
Lineage: Eukaryota; Metazoa; Chordata; Actinopteri; Characiformes; Acestrorhamphidae
Description: lncRNA (ENSAMXG00005013164.1)
Source: RNAcentral